GCCUAGUUAGCUUGGUUGGUAGCGCGUCUGCCUCGUAAGCGCUAGGCCGCGGGUUCGAAUCCCGCCCGGGGCG
Molecule: transfer RNA, 73 nt
Filed under: Diaphorina citri (Asian citrus psyllid)
Lineage: Eukaryota; Metazoa; Arthropoda; Insecta; Hemiptera; Psyllidae
Rfam family: tRNA
About the family: Transfer RNA (tRNA) molecules are approximately 80 nucleotides in length. Their secondary structure includes four short double-helical elements and three loops (D, anti-codon, and T loops). Further hydrogen bonds mediate the characteristic L-shaped molecular structure. tRNAs have two regions of fundamental functional importance: the anti-codon, which is responsible for specific mRNA codon recognition, and the 3' end, to which the tRNAs corresponding amino acid is attached (by aminoacyl-tRNA synthetases). tRNAs cope with the degeneracy of the genetic code in two manners: having more than one tRNA (with a specific anti-codon) for a particular amino acid; and 'wobble' base-pairing, i.e. permitting non-standard base-pairing at the 3rd anti-codon position.
Source: Rfam by way of RNAcentral